UUCUAAGGGGAUUUCUUGAGUUGUAAAGUUUUUUUUUCUAAUUUUCUAAAUCAAGUUUUAAUGGGAUUGAAACUUAGGAAUAGAUUUGAUCCAAACCUUUGAAUUAGAUUGGGAGCCUUGGAUAAGGCUUGUAAAAAUUUUAAUGGUUGAUCUGAUAAAAUCAAUUGGGUUGUUUGUGAUCUCGAUUAAAAUCAACCAACUAUAUUCAUUGGAAUAUAGUGAAAUUUUUAAAUAAAGCUUAGGGGGUGGAUGUAGGUGCUAGGAGUGCACUGAACCAUUAUAAUUUUUACUGUAUUUGUGUGUAUGGCUUCCUUUUUAUUACCUGCAUUAUAUUUAGCUUGCAAUACACUUACUUCAUUCAAUUAAGUUUUGUAAAUGUUGCACAUAUUUGUUUAGAUUUUUGAAAAUCCAAUUCACUCUCCACCUCUUGGGCUAUCUAGCUAGGCAACAAUCCACCGCUAUGGCAGGCUAGGUUGGACAUGCCGCUAGGGGCUUCAUGUUCCACUAACUCUGUUGGGAUGGCUGGUGGUGGGAAGCGGUGGAGAUGUUUUGCAUCCAUAUUCUCACCAUUAGUUCUUCCAUCAUUUUCUAAAAAUGGGCAACAAACCCUUUCUCUACUACCAAUCUAUUGUCGUAAAUCUCUACACUAAUGUUGGUCAUCCACCAACAUCAAACUCAAAUUUGAUUUGAGGGCAUUUUCUUCUCCAAGAACAUACAAUCAAAGUCCAUACUCACCAA
This 738-nucleotide long non-coding RNA is filed under the name Elaeis guineensis (African oil palm). RNAcentral describes it as "long non-coding RNA (EGUI_LNC044243)". The record is from RNAcentral. Lineage: Eukaryota; Viridiplantae; Streptophyta; Magnoliopsida; Arecales; Arecaceae.